This 468-nucleotide ribosomal RNA is filed under the name uncultured bacterium. RNAcentral's name for it is "partial 16S ribosomal RNA". It matches the Rfam family "Bacterial small subunit ribosomal RNA", at positions 28 to 507 of the family's 1533-position model. The record is from RNAcentral.
GACGAACGCUGGCGGCGUGCUUAACACAUGCAAGUCGAACGGAAAGGCCCUGCUUUUGUGGGGUGCUCGAGUGGCGAACGGGUGAGUAACACGUGAGUAACCUGCCCUUGACUUUGGGAUAACUUCAGGAAACUGGGGCUAAUACCGGAUAGGAGCUCCUGCUGCAUGGUGGGGGUUGGAAAGUUUCGGCGGUUGGGGAUGGACUCGCGGCUUAUCAGCUUGUUGGUGGGGUAGUGGCUUACCAAGGCUUUGACGGGUAGCCGGCCUGAGAGGGUGACCGGCCACAUUGGGACUGAAAUGCGGCCCGGACUCCUACGGGAGGCAGCAGUGGGGAAUAUUGCACAAUGGGCGGAAGCCUGAUGCAGCAACGCCGCGUGCGGGAUGACGGCCUUCGGGUUGUAAACCGCUUUCGCCUGUGACGAAGCGUGAGUGACGGUAAUGGGUAAAGAAGCACCGGCUAACUACGUG